This 566-nucleotide ribosomal RNA is filed under the name Nocardia sp. BMG111209. Its description in RNAcentral is "bacterial LSU rRNA". It matches the Rfam family "Bacterial large subunit ribosomal RNA", at positions 2362 to 2925 of the family's 2925-position model. Lineage: Bacteria; Bacillati; Actinomycetota; Actinomycetes; Mycobacteriales; Nocardiaceae. The record is from RNAcentral.
AGGGAGCUUGACUGUGAGACUGACGGGUCGAGCAGGGACGAAAGUCGGGACUAGUGAUCCGGCACCGGCAUGUGGAAGCGGUGUCGCUCAACGGAUAAAAGGUACCCCGGGGAUAACAGGCUGAUCUUCCCCAAGAGUCCAUAUCGACGGGAUGGUUUGGCACCUCGAUGUCGGCUCGUCGCAUCCUGGGGCUGGAGUAGGUCCCAAGGGUUGGGCUGUUCGCCCAUUAAAGCGGCACGCGAGCUGGGUUUAGAACGUCGUGAGACAGUUCGGUCUCUAUCCGCCGCGCGCGUUAGAAACUUGAGGAAGGCUGUCCCUAGUACGAGAGGACCGGGACGGACGAACCUCUGGUGUGCCAGUUGUUCCGCCAGGGGCAUGGCUGGUUUGCUACGUUCGGAAGGGAUAACCGCUGAAAGCAUCUAAGCGGGAAGCCUGUUCCUAGAUGAGGUUUCUCACCCCUUGAAGGGGGUAAGGCUCCCAAUAGACGAUUGGGUUGAUAGGCCGGAACUGGAAGCGCGGUAACGUGUGGAGGUGACCGGUACUAAUAGGCCGAGGGCUUACCAACG